UGCUGGGCCCUCUGGGUCCAACCUCCCACCCGUGUCUAUUGUACCUUGUUGCUUCGGCGGGCCCGCCGUUUUCGAACGGCCGCCGGGGAGGCCUCGCGCCCCCGGGCCCGCGCCCGCCGAAGACCCCAACAUGAACGCUGUUCUGAAAGUAUGCAGUCUGAGUUUGAUUAUCAUAAUCAGUUAAAACUUUCAACAACGGAUCUCUUGGUUCCGGCAUCGAUGAAGAACGCAGCGAAAUGCGAUAAGUAAUGUGAAUUGCAGAAUUCAGUGAAUCAUCGAGUCUUUGAACGCACAUUGCGCCCCCUGGUAUUCCGGGGGGCAUGCCUGUCCGAGCGUCAUUGCUGCCCUCAAGCACGGCUUGUGUGUUGGGCCCCCGUCCCCGGUUCUCCCCGGGGACGGGCCCGAAAGGCAGCGGCGGCACCGCGUCCGAUCCUCGAGCGUAUGGGGCUUUGUCACCCGCUCUGUAGGCCCGGCCGGCGCCAGCCGACACCCCAACUUUAUUUUUCUAAGGUGACCUCGAUCNAGGAGGNUCCAAU
This 536-nucleotide ribosomal RNA is filed under the name Aspergillus hiratsukae. Its description in RNAcentral is "eukaryotic LSU rRNA". The stretch from base 185 to 338 matches the Rfam family "5.8S ribosomal RNA". The record is from RNAcentral. Lineage: Eukaryota; Fungi; Ascomycota; Eurotiomycetes; Eurotiales; Aspergillaceae.